Vidua macroura (Pin-tailed whydah) is the source of this 2793-nucleotide long non-coding RNA. RefSeq lists it as uncharacterized. NCBI's taxonomy places the organism in Eukaryota, Metazoa, Chordata, Aves, Passeriformes, Viduidae. The transcript has 3 exons. The record is from RefSeq and is a predicted model, not a curated record.
AGCACGUGAUGCUGCAUCACCUCGCACUGCCCUGCAUUGUCUGGUAUCACCCCAUGGUGCAUUGAAUUGCCUGCAUGGCCUUGCGUUGCUCUCCAACACCUCACCUCAUGUUUCACCUCCCUGCAUCUUGUUGCCUUGCCUCACCCCGAGUUGCAUCCCCUGAUUGCCCUGCAUUGCAUCGCCUCAGACUACCUACCCUUGUUUCAUGUUGCCCUGCAUUUCAUCACCCUGAUUGACAUCGCCCUGCAUCACAUUGCUUUGCCUCAUCCUGAAUCGCAUCACUUUCCAUUUUGACUCCCUGCAUUGUUGCCUUGCAUUGCAUCACCCUGAACUGCACCACAUCACCUUGCAUUUCAUCUCCCUGCAUCGUGCUGCCCUGCAUUGCAUUGGCUUGCAUUGCCCUGCAUCUCAUUGCCCUCUGUGGCAUCCCAUUGCCCUGCAUCCCAUCCGUGUGCACUGCACCGCCCCGGAUGGCAGCAGCUGGCUCUGUGUCACCUCGCAUCACUCUGCAUCGUGCUGUGUCGCCCUGUAUCACGCUGCCUGGGCGCUGCACCCCCACCUUGCAGCGACCUGCAUCCUCCUCUCUCCCCUCUCCCUGCAUCGCAGCACGGUGCCCGUGGGCAGGAGGGUGCUGGGGUCUCAUUGCCUCCUCCCUGCCUGCAAUGGGCUCAGCCAUCCUCCUGUCCCUGCUGCUGAAGCUGCCCAUCCCUGUUGCCCAUCCCUCCCUGCCUGGUCACCUGGUGCAGUGACCCCCCCCACACCAUGUUGGGGUCCCUCUGCUUUGUGUUUCACACAUCCACCACCCCUCACAUCCUCAAACCACUCCCGCCCUUCUCACACGCCUCCCCAGGGAUGCCGAGAUCCUGCGAGCGCCUCUGCACACCCCUCUUAUCGCCAUUCUUUUUAAUUAUUGGGCUAAUUACUGGAAGCAGCAGCGCGGAGGGCCAGAACCGCAGGCUCUGCUGCAAAAAGAGUCAUUUCAACUUGCUGGCUCUGCCCGUCUCUGCCGGCUGCUGCCUCCCGCAGCCCCCCCGGCCCCAGCGAUCCCCCUGCCCCGGCGCGAUGCCAUCUGGAAGCUGUCUGCUCCCGCCAGCAGCCGUCAUUACCGAGCGCCUCGCCACCGUCGUCAUUAAAGCUCCCCAUUUCCUCAGCCCGCUUGCUCUGGGAGCAGGGACACACCUGGGUCACCGGUUUGAUCUCUUAAGGCAGUCAAGUGGCAUUUGGGGGCUAAUGAAGGGCUUGGUGGCAGGGGGAUGCAUCCUGCCUGUCCUCAGUACCAGUGGGUUGAAGGUACUGGGGUGGACACAAACCUGGAUGAGAUGGAGAUUUGUCAGCCUGGCUUAGGGUCUGUGGCUGUCCAGGGGCAUCCCCAGUGCUGCUCCCUUGGCAAUGACACAGUGGUGACACCAGUGCUGUCCCCUCAGCUUCCAUCAAGGCAGUGAGUAUAACAAGAGGAGGGCACAGGGUGCUGGCAGUGUUUGUCUGAGCCCAGCUCCUGGCACACUUCCCUGUGGUGCCAGGCAGCCUUGAGCCGGGACAUGGAUUCAUGUGUGCCACAUGUCCCUCCAUCACCCUCAUGCCACUGCCACAACAUGUCAAAAACCACAUGGUCCCUUUGCUGGCAGUUCUGCCACAGCCACAUAAACCACACUGCUGGUUUGACAGGUCCCAGCUCAGCCCUUUUCCUUGCAGCACCCACCAGUAACACCUCAGCACCUUUUUGGGGUCUACAUACACAUGGGGCUUUAUUUAAUUCUAUUUCCACAAACACCAGCUGCUCAGGCAUGCACCAAUCACAGAAUGUCCUCAGGCACCAAGCAGCCAGGCUCAGUGCCACCCACAUCAGCCCAGCACCCCAUCCCUCCCUGUUCCCCAUCCCUUUUUGGGAUGUUUUCCAUGCCACUGCCCCAUAUUGCAGUUGCAUCUUGCAGGCUUUGCGGGCAACUGGAUGCGGCUAAAGCCUAAAUUCCAGGGAAAUGAUGGGUCAAAAAAAUCUGGAAAGCUGGCACAAAAGCCCCUACCACAGCAUGGUAUCCUCUGCCAGUGCUGGUGGAACAAAGCAGGAAAAUCAAAGCCAGGCUGUGGGGCAGCCCUGGGCUGUGGUGGGAGAAUUAAUGGGAGCAAAGAGCCCUGCAUGCUGUGUGGGAGUGGGUUUGAAAAAUGAAAUCGGCUUGAGAAGACCCUGGGCUGAAGCUUUAGGGGGAGCUUUUCUCCCCUUUCUCCUUUAUUAUUAAUUAUCGUGAUUAAUUAUUAUUAUUAAUUAAUUAUUGUUAAUUUUCCAAACAGCUGGGACAAUGUUGGGAUGAGCAAAAGCGCAUGGCGCAAGGGGAAGGAUCAGUCACCGGCACACAGAGGGCAGGGACAUGGCAUGGCUGGAUCUGGAGCCCUCUGAAGGCAGCCCAGGACUUCCCAUGGCAGGGACCCUCGCUGCUGCUCAUCCCGCGGGGGCUGAUCCAGCCCUGCUGCUCCUCCGGCUGCUCCCUCGCCUUCGCUGCUGUACCAUCAACAAGGACUCAGCGACUAAAAAUAGCAGCGUGCUCUCGCAGGGGGAUGCUCCGCCAUCAGAGCACUGCUGGCACCGCGGACACCCCGUUCCCCACCCCAAACCCUCUCCCAACCCUCAUUCCACUCCCAGGGGUGCAGCCCCAUAUGGUGAGGUGGUAUCGGAGCUGAGAACGAAGGGAUUGGACCCUCCUGAAUCCCCCUGCAGCUCUCAGGGAGGGGAAUAAGCGCCUAUCGAGUAGCGUCAGCCCCGGAUUUGUUUAAUUGUGAGCUGGUGGAGUUUAAAGAAAC